AUUGCUGCAACCUCUGCAUCAAUCACGUCUGCACUGCACACCCCACCCCAGGAGGUACGAGCAGGCAACAAAAAAUGAUGAUCCAGUGGAGUCCCGAAGAACUGUCCCUGUUCCCGUUGUCCCGUCAGUCUCGAACGAUCCGUUUCCUUCGGAUUAAUUGGGCCUGGGGGCAGUAAACUGCACGACCGCGAUUGCCAGCUGACCAUCCCGAUUGAUGCGGUGCAAAAUUUUAAGAAUGGGUCUAAACACGGUGGCCAGUCAGUGGUGAACAAGUAGUAGGACGAGGACGACCGUUUAUCCCGGCGGCCUGAUCGAAAACUCUACGUUCCAUUUCUACUCUUGAAUCUUGAUUGAUUGGUUCCAGGUCUAUCUUCCAACACUAAUCAAAAUCGAAGCUGUGUCAGACGAGGAAUACGAGACCAAAAAGAAGCACCACCAUACUACUGCAGUGACAGUCUAUACAGCUGAGAUCCGCAUCAAGCCGCCGCGCCGGCCAUGAAGGACACGACGCCGGCUGACCCCGAGGGCUGCAAGCGAUGGGCCCCGGCAACCAACGCCGUGCUCGUUGCCUUCCUGCUN
Molecule: long non-coding RNA, 579 nt
Filed under: Hordeum vulgare
Lineage: Eukaryota; Viridiplantae; Streptophyta; Magnoliopsida; Poales; Poaceae
Description: long non-coding RNA (HVUL_LNC017979)
Source: RNAcentral